UUGGGAUAGGCUUGCGUCUGAUUAGCUAGUUGGUGUGGUAACGGCACACCAAGGCUACGAUCAGUAACUGGUCUGAGAGGAUGAUCAGUCACACUGGAACUGAGACACGGUCCAGACUCCUACCGGGAGGCAGCAGUGAGGAAUAUUGGGCAAUGCUCGAAAGAGUGACCCAGCAACGCCGCGUGGAGGAUGAAGGUAUUCUAUAUCGUAAACUCCUGUGAGAGCAGACGAAAGACAGAUUAUUAAUCUGGAUGGCUGUAUGCUCAGAGGAAGCCCCGGCUAACUACGUG
This 290-nucleotide ribosomal RNA is filed under the name uncultured bacterium. RNAcentral's name for it is "partial 16S ribosomal RNA". It matches the Rfam family "Bacterial small subunit ribosomal RNA", at positions 220 to 507 of the family's 1533-position model. The record is from RNAcentral.